This 194-nucleotide small RNA is filed under the name Neogale vison (American mink). Its description in RNAcentral is "Neovison vison (American mink) 7SK RNA (ENSNVIG00000008615.1)". The stretch from base 66 to 194 matches the Rfam family "7SK RNA", at positions 200 to 331 of the family's 331-position model. Rfam says of the family: 7SK was discovered as an abundant small nuclear RNA in the mid-70s but a possible function has only recently been suggested. Two independent studies have found that 7SK RNA binds the CDK9/cyclin T complex (known as elongation factor P-TEFb). Lineage: Eukaryota; Metazoa; Chordata; Mammalia; Carnivora; Mustelidae. The record is from RNAcentral.
AGGUAAAACAGGGAUUUUACCUAUGUGCCGUCUCCCCACGUGACCACUCAUGUUAAAGGACCCUCAGCCUCUCCUGCUAGAACCUCCAAAAAGCUACCAAGAUCCAUUUGUCAGACAGAACAUAUUGUAGUCAAGCUUCUAAGACUCCAGACACAUCCAAAUGAGGCACUGCAUGUAGUAGUCUGCCUUUCUUU